GGCGGCGUAGCUCAGUUGGUAGAGCCCCCGGUUCAUACCCGGUCUGUCAUUGGUUCAAGUCCGAUCGCCGCUACCA
Molecule: transfer RNA, 76 nt
Filed under: Oscillospiraceae bacterium
Lineage: Bacteria; Bacillati; Bacillota; Clostridia; Eubacteriales; Oscillospiraceae
Description: tRNA-Met
Rfam family: tRNA
About the family: Transfer RNA (tRNA) molecules are approximately 80 nucleotides in length. Their secondary structure includes four short double-helical elements and three loops (D, anti-codon, and T loops). Further hydrogen bonds mediate the characteristic L-shaped molecular structure. tRNAs have two regions of fundamental functional importance: the anti-codon, which is responsible for specific mRNA codon recognition, and the 3' end, to which the tRNAs corresponding amino acid is attached (by aminoacyl-tRNA synthetases). tRNAs cope with the degeneracy of the genetic code in two manners: having more than one tRNA (with a specific anti-codon) for a particular amino acid; and 'wobble' base-pairing, i.e. permitting non-standard base-pairing at the 3rd anti-codon position.
Source: RNAcentral